This 1662-nucleotide ribosomal RNA is filed under the name marine metagenome. Its description in RNAcentral is "bacterial LSU rRNA". It matches the Rfam family "Bacterial large subunit ribosomal RNA", at positions 204 to 2034 of the family's 2925-position model. The record is from RNAcentral.
AAGUAGCUGGAGGAAAGGACAUCAACCGAGACUCCGUUAGUAGUGACGAGCGAAAGCGGACCAGGCCAAUGACUAUUUUAGAAAAAACCAGAAUAAUAUGGAAAUGUUAGCCAAAGAGGGUGAUAGCCCCGUAUGGGUAAGUUUCUUUUAUAGUUUUCGAGUAGGGCGGGACACGUGAAAUCCUGCUUGAAUAUGGGGGGACCACCCUCCAAGCCUAAGUACUACUCUGUGACCGAUAGUGAACAAGUACCGUGAGGGAAAGGUGAAAAGAACCCCGAUGAGGGGAGUGAAACAGACCUGAAACUGAAUGCUUACAAGCAGUUGGAGCAACUUUAAGUUGUGACAGCGUACCUUUUGUAUAAUGGGUCAGCGAGUUAAUUUAUUGUGCAAGCUUAAGCCGUUAGGUGUAGGCGAAGCGAAAGCGAGUCUGAAUAGGGCGUUUUAGUUCAAUGGAUUAGACCCGAAACCGGGUGAUCUAGCUAUGAGCAGGUUGAAGGUAAGGUAACACUUACUGGAGGACCGAACCCACGCAUGUUGAAAAAUGCGGGGAUGACUUGUUGCUAGGGGUGAAAGGCCAAUCAAACCCGGAGAUAGCUGGUUCUCCGCGAAAACUAUUUAGGUAGUGCGUUAUGUAUUACUAUCGGGGGUAGAGCACUAGAUGGGCUAGGGGGGCGCGAGCCUUACCAAACCUAACUAAACUCCGAAUACCGAUAAGUACAGCAUAGCAGACAGUCCAUGGGUGCUAAGGUCCUUGGACGAGAGGGAAAGAGCCCAGACCACCAGCUAAGGUCCCUAAAUUGUGGCUAAGUGGGAAAGGAUGUGGAAAGACCAAGACAGCCAGGAGGUUGGCUUAGAAGCAGCCAUCCUUUAAAGAAAGCGUAACAGCUCACUGGUCUAAAUAAGCCGGUCUGCGCCGAAGAUGUAACGGGGCUAAAGCCAUAUACCGAAGCUGUGGAUGCCGUAAGGCAUGGUAGCGGAGCGUUCUGUAAGCCGUUGAAGGCAAUGUGUGAAUAUUGUUGGAGGUAUCAGAAGUGAGAAUGCUGACAUGAGUAGCGAUAAAGAGUGUGAGAAACACUCUCGCCGAAAGCCUAAGGGUUCCUGCGCAAGGUUAAUCCGCGCAGGGUUAGUCGGCCCCUAAGAUGAGGGCGAAAGCCGUAGUCGAUGGGAAUACGGUAAAUAUUCCGUAACCUGAUGGAAGUGACGAAUGAUGAAGAUUGUAAAAGCUUAUUGGAUUGUUUUUGCAGUUAAUUUGUUCCAGGAAAUAGCUCCAUCAACAAGACCGUACCCGAAACCGACACAGGUAGGCAGGUAGAGAAUACCAAGGCGCUUGAGAGAAUGGUGUUGAAGGAACUCGGCAAAAUGCCCCCGUAACUUUGGGAGAAGGGGGACCUAUGCUGGGCAACCAGUGCUAGGUGGCACAAACCAGGGGGUAGCGACUGUUUAUUAAAAACACAGGACUCUGCAAAGUGGUAACACGACGUAUAGGGUCUGACGCCUGCCCGGUGCCGGAAGGUUAAGAGGAGGUGUGCAAGCACCGAAUUGAAGCCCCGGUAAACGGCGGCCGUAACUAUAACGGUCCUAAGGUAGCGAAAUUCCUUGUCGGGUAAGUUCCGACCUGCACGAAUGGCGUAACGACUUCCCCGCUGUCUCCAACACCAACUC